This 258-nucleotide ribosomal RNA is filed under the name Tricholoma saponaceum. RNAcentral's name for it is "partial small subunit ribosomal RNA". Lineage: Eukaryota; Fungi; Basidiomycota; Agaricomycetes; Agaricales; Tricholomataceae. The record is from RNAcentral.
UGGGAAGAAGCUUAAUUUGAGGGAAACUGCCGCAAGGUUAUAACUUAAACAAAAGAAUACUUAAGUUAAUAAUAUCCAUUAUAUAUUAUAAUUAUAUAUUAUUAUAAAAUUUAAAUUAAAUAUUUAAUUAUACUUAAUUUAAGAGUAGUUUGUAUGCUAAUUUUAAAAAUACAAUAGUUUUAUAUUGUAAUUAGUCUUUUAUAAUAAAACACCUUUGUUAAGCUAAUUAGUUUCAGUUAACUCAUUUAAGUAACAUCU